Long non-coding RNA from Dermochelys coriacea (leatherback sea turtle), 232 nucleotides. RefSeq lists it as uncharacterized. The transcript has 4 exons. The record is from RefSeq and is a predicted model, not a curated record. NCBI's taxonomy places the organism in Eukaryota, Metazoa, Chordata, Testudines, Dermochelyidae.
AGGGGUUGCAAAACUAUUAAGAUGGACAAAGCAGUAAUAGUGAGAGCCCAGCGACACCCCGAACAAGAGUGGUGGGAUGGCUCUUGCUGCUUCGGGCCUGCAGAAUUUUAGUGUGAUACAAUGUAUGUAUGGUGGCACAUAUAUAUGGGAAUCCUCGGGUGUCCAACGCUUUGGUCCUCCUUUGUUAAUUUUACCACUGUUCAGAAUUGGCCAUGGUGGAAGAAAAGGUCAG